GGGGAUGGAUGUCGUCCGGUGGCGGCCCUAGUCUUCAAAAUUAGUGGGCGGUUGCGACCAGCAAGCGUCGGUGGGUUCGACUCCCAUCCGUUCCCG
RNAcentral lists this transfer RNA (96 nucleotides) under Anaerolineales bacterium HSG6. RNAcentral's name for it is "tRNA-Sec". It matches the Rfam family "Selenocysteine transfer RNA". Lineage: Bacteria; Bacillati; Chloroflexota; Anaerolineae; Anaerolineales. RNAcentral also lists the same sequence under 2 other names. The record is from RNAcentral.